UUUCCGUAGGUGAACCUGCGGAAGGAUCAUUCAUAAUAAGUGUUCUACUGCACUUUUUAAAAAUAGUACUCACCUUGUGUGCAAUGUUGUGUUUCUUCUCGGAGAAACACCUACACCAACCUAUAACCUUGAACCACUUUGUCUGAAAAACUAUUAUGAAUACUUAAUUCAAAAUACAACUUUCAACAACGGAUCUCUUGGCUCUCGCAUCGAUGAAGAACGAGC
RNAcentral lists this unclassified non-coding RNA (225 nucleotides) under plant metagenome. RNAcentral's name for it is "partial contains small subunit ribosomal RNA, internal transcribed spacer 1, and 5.8S ribosomal RNA". The stretch from base 178 to 225 matches the Rfam family "5.8S ribosomal RNA", at positions 1 to 49 of the family's 154-position model. The record is from RNAcentral.